This 253-nucleotide ribosomal RNA is filed under the name uncultured bacterium. RNAcentral's name for it is "partial 16S ribosomal RNA". It matches the Rfam family "Bacterial small subunit ribosomal RNA", at positions 524 to 776 of the family's 1533-position model. The record is from RNAcentral.
UACAGAGACUGCAAGCGUUAUUCGGAUUCACUGGGCGUAAAGGGUGCGCAGGCGGCCGCGUGUGUCAGGUGUGAAAGCCCGGAGCUUAACUCCGGAAUUGCGCCUGAAACUACAUGGCUAGAGCAUUGGAGAGGGUAGCGGAAUUCACGGUGUAGCAGUGAAAUGCGUAGAUAUCGUGAGGAACACCAGAGGCGAAGGCGGCUACCUGGACAAUUGCUGACGCUCAGGCACGAAAGCGUGGGGAGCAAAAGGG